GAUGAACGCUGGCGGCGUGCUUAACACAUGCAAGUCGAACGGAAAGGCUCCUGCUUGCCGGGGUACUCGAGUGGCGAACGGGUGAGUAACACGUGGGUGAUCUGCCCUGCACUUCGGAAUAAGCGGGGGAAACUGGGUCUAAUACCGGAGAGGACGAUGGUUUGGAUGCCAUUGUGGAAAGUUUUUCGGUUUGGGAUGAGCUAGGGGCCUAUCAGCUUGUUGGUGGGGUAAUGGCAUACCAAGGCGUCGACGGUUAGUCGGCCUGAGGGGGUGUACGGCCACAUUGGGACUGCGAUACGGCGCAGACGCCAACGGGAGGCAACAGUGGGGAAUAUUGUCCAAUGGGGGCACGCCUGAUGCGACGGCGCCGCGUGGGGGAUGAAGGCCUUCGGGUUGUGAACUGCUUUAGCUUGGGACGAAGCGGAAGUGACGGUACCUGGAGAAGAAGCACCGGCUAACUACGUG
RNAcentral lists this ribosomal RNA (465 nucleotides) under uncultured bacterium. RNAcentral's name for it is "partial 16S ribosomal RNA". It matches the Rfam family "Bacterial small subunit ribosomal RNA", at positions 28 to 507 of the family's 1533-position model. The record is from RNAcentral.